Molecule: ribosomal RNA, 256 nt
Filed under: uncultured bacterium
Lineage: Bacteria
Description: partial 16S ribosomal RNA
Rfam family: Bacterial small subunit ribosomal RNA
Source: RNAcentral
GACGAACGCUGGCGGCGUGCUUAACACAUGCAAGUCGAACGAUGAAGCCUUUCGGGGUGGAUUAGUGGCGAACGGGUGAGUAACACGUGGGCAAUCUGCCCUGUACUUUGGGAUAAGCCUUGGAAACGGGGUCUAAUACCGGAUAUCACUUACCUCCGCAUGGGGGUUUGGUUGAAGUUACUGCGGUACAGGAGUGAGCCCGCCGGCCUAUCAGCUUGUUGGUGGGGUAGGUGGCCUACCAAGGCGACGACGGGUA